This is a non-coding RNA of Giardia lamblia ATCC 50803, 83 nucleotides long. NCBI's taxonomy places the organism in Eukaryota, Fornicata, Diplomonadida, Hexamitidae. The record is from Rfam.
GCAACUUUGGCCGAGUGGUUAAGGCGUUACGUUAAGGCCGUAAUGGGAGUCAUCCCGCGUGGGUUCGAGCCCCACAGGUUGCA